AACGGUCUAUACCUGCGGUACCUGCGGAGGGAUCAUUAAUGAGAAGCUGCCCCUCGUGGGUAGACCUCCCACCCUCUGUGAACUUACCUUUGUUGCUUUGGCAGGCCCGUCCUCUGGACCGCCGGCUUCGGCUGGCCCGUGCCUGCCAGAGGAUUCCAAACCCUGUCUGUCAGUGUUGUCUGAGUCUAUAUGAAAUCGUUAAAACUUUUAGCAACGGAUCUCUAGAUCGGAAGAGCACAC
RNAcentral lists this unclassified non-coding RNA (240 nucleotides) under soil metagenome. Its description in RNAcentral is "partial contains 5.8S ribosomal RNA, internal transcribed spacer 2, and large subunit ribosomal RNA". The record is from RNAcentral.